UAGCAGCGGCAGUGGCAGCAGCGGGCGAGUUGGAACUUUGUUUACAGAGUCUACAACUGGCAGACGUGGGUUGAGAGUUCCUGUUUGAAACCCUUCCUCCCUGCAUCUUCUCUGUCUUCAGAGAGAACUGGACCUCCAGAGAGGCAGGAAUCCCCUAGCAGCACUGCCUGAGCUGGUGAUGGCAUGGCCUUUGAUGAAUGAGCUCAUACAAUAUCUCUUCACUUUCUCAUCUAAGGCGUCUUCUGGGGGUUGGAGUGGAGGUUUCCCUUCAAUGGCCCGGGGUCCUCAUCUCAGUCUUCCUGCGCAGGGAUCUAGGCAGUAUGGAUGGGACCGACCUCACAGAGGAGACUGCCUACCUCAGAUAGCAAUAGAGGAGAGUCGGUUUGGGCCCUGGAUGACAGAUCGUAACUGUCCUGAGUGGCUGGACAUCUUAGAGUGAACAGCAGACAGCACCGGCUUCAUGUGAGAGUCCUGCCUGGACAUUGAGGAUGGAUCCGAGAGAGAAGCGCAGAGCCUGACGGAUCAGACACCACCACCCCUUAGCGGCGACGAAACCGAGCGGUAAACGCGCUGGAUCGUGAGAAGCACUUGUCUAGCUAGGCCAAGGAGAGAGGCGCAGGGAGAGCGAGGUGAUCCAGACCAGACAGGGAACCCUGCGGGGCGUGGCGGGGCCGGGGGUGAAGCUUGCAGAGGUAGUUGCCCGUGAAGAGCAGCUUGUGCGCUGUUGGAUCCUUGGAGUGGAGUGGGAACUCCGAGGUGAAGCGCACCGUGUUCAGCCCGAUGCCGGUGAGCGGCCGUUGGAACGCGUGGCAGAGAAAGCUUGCGCGAGCCCAGGGCGCGAAGAAGUACAACAAAGGGCCAACGGGGAGGUCCAACGGUCCGACCCCAGCCGGACUCGAGCUCACUCGGUUGCAGGCGUUAGGCUCCCAGCGGCUCUCAGCCGUUAAGUGGAGAAUGUUCAGGACUGUCGAGGCGCGCUCCGCACCUGGCCUGAAAGCGGGAGAUUUGGCAACCAGUGCGCGUGGGUGCGCCGGCCCUUGCAGCUGGGGACUCUGGAGGCAGACCUUGCCCAAAGCCAGAGGCAGGAACUCCCCAGAUCCUCCCAGGGUAGGGAGCUGGCUCACAGGGAAGGUGCCUGGGGAGGGGCCGGGCGGUGCUGUCUCCUGACUCCGCCCAGGCAGCCCCGCCG
Molecule: long non-coding RNA, 1189 nt
Filed under: Homo sapiens (human)
Lineage: Eukaryota; Metazoa; Chordata; Mammalia; Primates; Hominidae
Description: non-protein coding lnc-ZNF792-1:5
Source: RNAcentral